GACGAACGCUGGCGGCGUGCUUAACACAUGCAAGUCGAACGGAAAGGCCCUGCUUGCCGGGUACUCGAGUGGCGAACGGGUGAGUAACACGUGGGUGAUCUGCCCUGCACUUCGGGAUAAGCCUGGGAAACUGGGUCUACUACCGGAUAGGAGCCAUUUUUAGUGUGAUGGUUGGAAAGUUUUUUCGGUGUAGGAUGAGCUCGCGGCCUAUCAGCUUGUUGGUGGGGUAAUGGCCUACCAAGGCGGCGACGGGUAGCCGGCCUGAGAGGGUGGACGGCCACAUUGGGACUGGGAUACGGCCCAGACUCCUACGGGAGGCAGCAGUGGGGAAUAUAGCACAAUGGGCGGAAGCCUGAUGCAGCGACGCCGCGUGGGGGAUGACGGCCUUCGGGUGGUAAACUCCUUUCGCUAGGGACGAAGCUUUUGUGACGGUACCUAGAUAAGAAGCACCGGCUAACUACGU
Molecule: ribosomal RNA, 463 nt
Filed under: uncultured bacterium
Lineage: Bacteria
Description: partial 16S ribosomal RNA
Rfam family: Bacterial small subunit ribosomal RNA
Source: RNAcentral